AGGGCACCACCAGGAGUGGAGCCUGCGGCUUAAUUUGACUCAACACGGGAAAUCUCACCAGGCCCGGACACCGGAAGGAUUGACAGAUUGAGAGCUCUUUCUUGAUUCGGUGGGUGGUGGUGCAUGGCCGUUCUUAGUUGGUGGAGCGAUUUGUCUGGUUAAUUCCGAUAACGAACGAGACUCUAGCCUACUAAAUAGGCCACCGGCUUACUGACGUCGGUGGGACUUCUUAGAGGGACAGGCGGCGAUUCAGCCGCACGAAACAGAGCAAUAACAGGUCUGUGAUGCCCUUAGAUGUCCGGGGCCGCACGCGCGCUACACUGAAGUGAUCAGCGUGCAUUACAAACCUGCUCCGUCAGGAGUGGGGAACCCAAUGAACCUUCUUCGUGAUUGGGAUAGGGGAUUGUAAUUAUUCCCCUUGAACGAGGAAUUCCCAGUAAGCGCGAGUCAUAAGCUCGCGUUGAUUACGUCCCUGCCCUUUGUACACACCGCCCGUCGCUACUACCGAUUGAAUGAUUU
Molecule: ribosomal RNA, 519 nt
Filed under: uncultured eukaryote
Lineage: Eukaryota
Description: SSU rRNA
Rfam family: Eukaryotic small subunit ribosomal RNA
Source: RNAcentral